AGUUUGAUCCUGGCUCAAGAUGAAUUUUGGGGGCGUGCCUAAUACAUGCAAGUCAAACGAAUCUUCUUCGGAAGAUGAGUGGCGAACGGGUGAGUAAUACAUAGGUAACCUGCCCCUGUGCGGGGGGGAUAACAGGAGGAAACUCCUGCUAAUACCGCAUAGCCAUGAGCACCGCAUGGAGCUCAUGCCAAAUAUCCUUUCGGGGAUAGCGCAGGGAUGGACCUAUGGCGCAUUAGCUGGUUGGCGGGGCAACGGCCCACCAAGGCAACGAUGCGUAGCCGGCCUGAGAGGGCGGACGGCCACAUUGGGACUGAGACACGGCCCAGACUCCUACGGGAGGCAGCAGUAGGGAAUUUUCGGCAAUGGGGGAAACCCUGACCGAGCAACGCCGCGUGAGCGAAGAAGGCCUUCGGGUCGUAAAGCUCUGUUGUAAAGGAAGAACGGCGCAUACAGGAAAUGGUAUGCGAGUGACGGUACUUUACCAGAAAGCCACGGCUAACUACGUGCCAGCAGCCGCGGUAAUACGUAGGUGGCGAGCGUUAUCCGGAAUCAUUGGGCGUAAAGAGGGAGCAGGCGGCCGCAAGGGUCUGUGGUGAAAGACCGAAGCUAAACUUCGGUAAGCCAUGGAAACCGGGCGGCUAGAGUGCGGAAGAGGAUCGUGGAAUUCCAUGUGUAGCGGUGAAAUGCGUAGAUAUAUGGAGGAACACCAGUGGCGAAGGCGACGGUCUGGGCCGCAACUGACGCUCAUUCCCGAAAGCGUGGGGAGCAAAUAGGAUUAGAUACCCUGGUAGUCCAUGCCGUAAACGAUG
RNAcentral lists this ribosomal RNA (809 nucleotides) under uncultured bacterium. RNAcentral's name for it is "bacterial SSU rRNA". It matches the Rfam family "Bacterial small subunit ribosomal RNA", at positions 10 to 811 of the family's 1533-position model. The record is from RNAcentral.